CAGCAGCCGCGGUAAUACGAAGGGUGCAAGCGUUAAUCGGAAUUACUGGGCGUAAAGCGUGCGUAGGUGGUCGUUUAAGUCCGUUGUGAAAGCCCUGGGCUCAAUCUGGGAACUGCAGUGGAUACUGGGCGACUAGAGUGUGGUAGAGGGUAGCGGAAUUCCUGGUGUAGCAGUGAAAUGCGUAGAGAUCAGGAGGAACAUCCACGGCGAAGGCAGCUACUGGACCAACACUGACACUGAGGCACGAAAGCGUGGGGAGCAAACAGGAUUAGAUACCCUGGUAGUCCACGCCCUAAACGAUGCGAACUGGAUGUUGGGUGCAAUUUGGCACGCAGUAUUGAAGCUAACGCGUUAAGUUCGCCGCCUGGGGAGUACGGUCGCAAGACUGAAACUCAAAGGAAUUGACGG
Molecule: ribosomal RNA, 408 nt
Filed under: uncultured bacterium
Lineage: Bacteria
Description: bacterial SSU rRNA
Rfam family: Bacterial small subunit ribosomal RNA
Source: RNAcentral